UCACCCUGAACGAGGAUCUUCUCCUUGGUUCCUUCGUGUCCACAAUUCCCACAAUUGUCCCUCGAAAUGCUGACCUGAAAUUUGUCUGGAGCUUUGCUGCUGCUAGUCUCCAAGCAAAAGCAAAUGGGAGGCCAUGGCCUAAGAAGUGGAUUAUAUCAGGCUCUACAGCUGCAGGCAGCCUAUCAUGGAAUGGACAAGUUGCAGGAUUUGAGGGGUGGCUCCAAGGAAGGAGGAGAUGCCUUUUUACAGGGAGCCCCAGGGGAAACACGAGGAGGAUGUGGACAAGUUACUGCUGGGUCUCACAAACAGGAGAGGAACGUGGGAAGUGUUUGUGUCUCAGAGAUUGCAGUGAAUGAGAAUCUGAGUUCCUGCUGAGACAGUGCCAUUGAUCUCCUGAUUUGGACACAGCUCUGUAAUUCCUUUAAAUUUAAACUGAGUGACACAGCCCGAGGCUGAGCUGGGAUUCAGCUGCACCCUUCUCUGAGCAGGAGUUUGGAAAGCAAGGGAGUCCUUUCUGCCCCUCCUGACUCAAAGGGGGAAAAUUACAAAAUGACUGCUCCAGUGAGUCCAACAAGGACAAGGAAGAGAAUGUGAACAAGCCCUGGGAGACAGAGCAUUGGCUGAAAUUGCCCUGUCAGUGCAUGUGCAUGACACACAACUUCAGCAUCACUGAGCUCCUGGGCAAGCCCUCAAAAGUCAUCAGCUCAACAAAUGAAACCUGAGAAAAUGGAGCUGCCAACUUAUUUCCAGGUUACUGUGGAGGCUGAAGAGAGAGAGAGACCCAACCCCCUGCAGCAAAUGGACAUUUUAUUCUGUGGGACUGCUAAAAGGAGAGAACAGGAGGAGUUCUGGACCAAGGUUGUUUCAACUCACUCAAAUGGCAGUGAGAAUUUUUGCACACUGUUCUGGCCAGCAGGAGCCUGGCUUACCAAGGUGAAGCCUUCCAUGAGAAAGCACACAAAUAUCUGUGCUGCAGCACGAAGCCAACACAAGUCUGUGUUAUUUUCAGAAGGCAUUCUCCAAACCAAGCAAUUUACCUCAGAUUUUUGGCCCCAAGAUGACUCCAUUUUACAGAAGUUAAAAAGAAGCACGUUUACAGAUCCAGCCUUGGAAACCUUCAGAUUCCCAAACAUCAAAUGGCCUCUGACUCAGUGGGUUUUCUGCAGAUGGAGCACAGAGGAUGGUCUGCAUUCAUUGGAGAUCACAUCUCAGGCAGCCUAAAUGUGAUCACAGAGCAGUGACACAGCAGCAGCCCCACGAGCAGCUUUCUUGCUUUGCAGAGUCCUGACCAUCUUGGCCACGCUCAUUUCCCCACUGGAAGAGCUGCCUGCUCCUGAGGGCAGCCUUCAUUAAAAAGGAUCUUCUGCUUCCUUGUGUUCAGCUCUCAUCUCUCGCAACAUCCUCAACCAUAAAAGCCCGAAAGCGCCGGUGUUCCCUGAGUGAGUUCAGUGCCCUGGGGAGAGGCAGAGAAAUCCUUCACCCGCUGUGCUGGGCUGGGGUUAAUCACACACGGCAUUUGGGGCUUUCUUCUCUUCUCGGUGCUUUGCCGAACCGCAGCAGCGUCAAAUGGUAAGUUCAGAUCCAUGUUCCCGAUCGCUGUGGCAUUUGGGAUGGAAUUGCAUCCUUUCCCGCUGCACUCAUUAUCCCGCUUACAGCUUGGAGGGGGAGGAAGCUCCCCCUGUCUCGCACACAGGGAGGGAGCAGCAAAGCCCCUCGAUGCCAAAAUGAGAAUCAGAUGGUCUGUUCUGUGUUUGGAUCGCAGAUUAAAUCUCUGCUUGCCGGGACAGGGAUGCCUGGAGCGCCUGCAGACUCCAUGGGGCGGGUACAGCUGCUCUUUGCUGCCUGCUCCCAUCUCCAGUGCCUGGCUCUGCUGUCCUGGAGCAGUGAAUUGUUCCUCUGUCCCUCCCACAGCCUGCUCCCACUUGUCUUUGGGAUGGAAAGAGCUGCCUCGGGGCUAGAGGAACUUUAAAGGGAUACCAUGAGCUCUCAGAGCCUUGCAGAUUUAUGGGGUUGUUGCUGGACAUCAGAAGUCUGGGAACUUAAUGGAAUUUGCCUCAGGGCUG
Long non-coding RNA from Myiozetetes cayanensis, 2063 nucleotides. RefSeq lists it as uncharacterized. The record is from RefSeq and is a predicted model, not a curated record. The transcript is spliced from 11 exons. NCBI's taxonomy places the organism in Eukaryota, Metazoa, Chordata, Aves, Passeriformes, Tyrannidae.